CGGCCUUGACAUACUAAGAACUUUCCAGAGAUGGAUUGGUGCCUUCGGGAACUUAGAUACAGGUGCUGCAUGGCUGUCGUCAGCUCGUGUCGUGAGAUGUUGGGUUAAGUCCCGCAACGAGCGCAACCCUUUUCCUUAUUUGCCAGCGGGUCAUGCCGGGAACUUUAAGGAUACUGCCAGUGACAAACUGGAGGAAGGCGGGGACGACGUCAAGUCAUCAUGGCCCUUACGGCCAGGGCUACACACGUGCUACAAUGGUCGGUACAAAGGGUUGCUACCUCGCGAGAGGAUGCUAAUCUCAAAAAGCCGAUCGUAGUCCGGAUCGCAGUCUGCAACUCGACUGCGUGAAGUCGGAAUCGCUAGUAAUCGCGGAUCAGAAUGCCGCGGUCGAAUACGUUCCCGGGCCUUGUACACACCGCCCGUCACACCAUGGGAGUUUGUUGCACCAGAAGUAGGUAGUCUAACCGCAAGGAGGACGCUUACCACGGUGUGGCCGAUGACUGGGGUGAAGUCGUAACAAGGUAAGCGUAGAUGA
RNAcentral lists this ribosomal RNA (535 nucleotides) under uncultured bacterium. RNAcentral describes it as "bacterial SSU rRNA". It matches the Rfam family "Bacterial small subunit ribosomal RNA", at positions 976 to 1509 of the family's 1533-position model. The record is from RNAcentral.